AGUGAAGCGGCAAGAGCUCAGAUUUGGAAUCGUGUUUCGGCACGAGUUGUAAAUUGCAGGUUGGAGUCUUUGUGGAAGCGUGUGUCCAAGUCCCUUGGAACAGGGCGCCAUUGAGGGUGAGAGCCCCGUGGGAUGCGCGCGGAAGCAACAAGGCCCUUCUGACGAGUCGAGUUGUUUGGGAAUGCAGCUCUAAGCGGGUGGUAAAUUCCAUCUAAGGCUAAAUACUGGCGAGAGACCGAUAGCGAACAAGUACUGUGAAGGAAAGAUGAAAAGCACUUUGAAAAGAGAGUGAAACAGCACGUGAAAUUGUUGAAAGGGAAGGGUAUUGGGCCCGACAUGGGGAUUGCGCAUCUCUGCUCCUUGUGGGCGGGGCGCUGUGCUUUUCCUGGGCCAGCAUCGGUUUUUGCCGCAGGAGAAGGGGUACUGGAAUGUGGCUCCUCGGAGUGUUAUAGCCAGUGCCAGAUGCUGCGUGCGGGGACCGAGGGCUGCGACAUCUGUCUCGGAUGCUGGCACAACGGCGCAAUACCGCCCGUCUUG
RNAcentral lists this ribosomal RNA (537 nucleotides) under Pichia pseudolambica. RNAcentral's name for it is "eukaryotic LSU rRNA". It matches the Rfam family "Eukaryotic large subunit ribosomal RNA", at positions 92 to 656 of the family's 3401-position model. The record is from RNAcentral. Lineage: Eukaryota; Fungi; Ascomycota; Pichiomycetes; Pichiales; Pichiaceae.